This 1022-nucleotide ribosomal RNA is filed under the name Acinetobacter dispersus. Its description in RNAcentral is "bacterial SSU rRNA". It matches the Rfam family "Bacterial small subunit ribosomal RNA", at positions 1 to 1021 of the family's 1533-position model. The record is from RNAcentral. Lineage: Bacteria; Pseudomonadati; Pseudomonadota; Gammaproteobacteria; Moraxellales; Moraxellaceae.
UAGAAGUUUUGAAUCUUGCUCAGAUUGAACGCUGGCGGCAGGCUUAACCACAUGCAAGUCGAGCGGAGUGAUGGUGCUUGCACUAUCACUUAGCGGCGGACGGGUGAGUAAUGCUUAGGAAUCUGCCAUUUAGUGGGGGGACAACAUUCCGAAAGGAAUGCUAAUACCGCAUACGUCCUACGGGAGAAAGCAGGGGAUCUUCGGACCUUGCGCUAAAUGAUGAGCUAAGUCGGAUUAGCUAGUUGGUGGGGUAAAGGCCUACCAAGGCGACGAUCUGUAGCGGGUCUGAGAGGAUGAUCCGCCACACUGGGACUGAGACACGGCCCAGACUCCUACGGGAGGCAGCAGUGGGGAAUAUUGGACAAUGGGCGGAAGCCUGAUCCAGCCAUGCCGCGUGUGUGAAGAAGGCCUUUUGGUUGUAAAGCACUUUAAGCGAGGAGGAGGCUCUCCUAGUUAAUACCUAGGAAGAGUGGACGUUACUCGCAGAAUAAGCACCGGCUAACUCUGUGCCAGCAGCCGCGGUAAUACAGAGGGUGCGAGCGUUAAUCGGAUUUACUGGGCGUAAAGCGUGCGUAGGCGGCUGAUUAAGUCGGAUGUGAAAUCCCUGAGCUUAACUUAGGAAUUGCAUUCGAUACUGGUCAGCUAGAGUAUGGGAGAGGAUGGUAGAAUUCCAGGUGUAGCGGUGAAAUGCGUAGAGAUCUGGAGGAAUACCGAUGGCGAAGGCAGCCAUCUGGCCUAAUACUGACGCUGAGGUACGAAAGCAUGGGGAGCAAACAGGAUUAGAUACCCUGGUAGUCCAUGCCGUAAACGAUGUCUACUAGCCGUUGGGGCCUUUGAGGCUUUAGUGGCGCAGCUAACGCGAUAAGUAGACCGCCUGGGGAGUACGGUCGCAAGACUAAAACUCAAAUGAAUUGACGGGGGCCCGCACAAGCGGUGGAGCAUGUGGUUUAAUUCGAUGCAACGCGAAGAACCUUACCUGGCCUUGACAUACUAGAAACUUCCAGAGAUGGAUGGCUCCGAUC